Molecule: ribosomal RNA, 305 nt
Filed under: uncultured bacterium
Lineage: Bacteria
Description: bacterial SSU rRNA
Rfam family: Bacterial small subunit ribosomal RNA
Source: RNAcentral
GCCCUACGGGAGGCAGCAGUGAGGAAUAUUGGUCAAUGGUCGGGAGACUGAACCAGCCAAGCCGCGUGAGGGAUGAAGGUACAGAGUAUCGUAAACCUCUUUUGUCAGGGAACAAAGGCGGGGACGUGUCCCCGGAUGAGUGUACCUGAAGAAAAAGCAUCGGCUAACUCCGUGCCAGCAGCCGCGGUAAUACGGAGGAUGCGAGCGUUAUCCGGAUUUAUUGGGUUUAAAGGGUGCGUAGGCGGACGCUUAAGUCAGCGGUAAAAUUGCGGGGCUCAACCUCGUCGAGCCGUUGAAACUGGGUG